RNAcentral lists this ribosomal RNA (440 nucleotides) under uncultured bacterium. RNAcentral describes it as "partial 16S ribosomal RNA". It matches the Rfam family "Bacterial small subunit ribosomal RNA", at positions 339 to 795 of the family's 1533-position model. The record is from RNAcentral.
CUACGGGUGGCUGCAGUGAGGAAUAUUGCACAAUGGGGGGAACCCUGAUGCAGCAACGCCGCGUGGAGGAUGACGCAUUUCGGUGUGUAAACUCCUUUUAUAUGUCAAGAAAAUGACGGUAGCAUAUGAAUAAGCACCGGCUAACUCCGUGCCAGCAGCCGCGGUAAUACGGAGGGUGCGAAGCGUUACUCGGAAUCACUGGGCGUAAAGGACGCGUAGGCGGGUUGGAAAGUCAGGUGUGAAAUCCUACAGCUUAACUGUAGAACUGCACUUGAAACUUCUAAUCUAGAGUAUGGGAGGGGGAGAUGGAAUUAGUGGUGUAGGGGUAAAAUCCGUAGAUAUCACUAGGAAUACCUAAAGCGAAGGCGAUCUCCUGGAACAUUACUGACGCUAAGGCGUGAAAGCGUGGGGAGCAAACAGGAUUAGAUACCCCUGUAGUC